RNAcentral lists this ribosomal RNA (548 nucleotides) under uncultured bacterium. Its description in RNAcentral is "bacterial SSU rRNA". It matches the Rfam family "Bacterial small subunit ribosomal RNA", at positions 355 to 895 of the family's 1533-position model. The record is from RNAcentral.
UAGGGAAUCUUCGGCAAUGGGGGGGACCCUGACCGAGCAACGCCGCGUGAGUGAAGAAGGUUUUCGGAUCGUAAAGCUCUGUUGUUAAGGAAGAACGAGUGUGAGAAUGGAAAGUUCAUACUGUGACGGUACUUAACCAGAAAGGGACGGCUAACUACGUGCCAGCAGCCGCGGUAAUACGUAGGUCCCGAGCGUUGUCCGGAUUUAUUGGGCGUAAAGCGAGCGCAGGCGGUUAGAUAAGUCUGAAGUUAAAGGCAGUGGCUCAACCAUUGUAGGCUUUGGAAACUGUUUAACUUGAGUGCAGAAGGGGAGAGUGGAAUUCCAUGUGUAGCGGUGAAAUGCGUAGAUAUAUGGAGGAACACCGGUGGCGAAAGCGGCUCUCUGGUCUGUAACUGACGCUGAGGCUCGAAAGCGUGGGGAGCGAACAGGAUUAGAUACCCUGGUAGUCCACGCCGUAACGAUGAGUGCUAGGUGUUAGGUCCUUUCCGGGACUUAGUGCCGCAGCUAACGCAUUAAGCACUCCGCCUGGGGAGUACGACCGCAAGGUU